RNAcentral lists this ribosomal RNA (556 nucleotides) under Candida tropicalis. RNAcentral's name for it is "eukaryotic LSU rRNA". The stretch from base 196 to 349 matches the Rfam family "5.8S ribosomal RNA". The record is from RNAcentral. Lineage: Eukaryota; Fungi; Ascomycota; Pichiomycetes; Serinales; Debaryomycetaceae.
UGAAAAUAAAAAAACGUAACAAGGUUUCCGUAGGUGAACCUGCGGAAGGAUCAUUACUGAUUUGCUUAAUUGCACCACAUGUGUUUUUUAUUGAACAAAUUUCUUUGGUGGCGGGAGCAAUCCUACCGCCAGAGGUUAUAACUAAACCAAACUUUUUAUUUACAGUCAAACUUGAUUUAUUAUUACAAUAGUCAAAACUUUCAACAACGGAUCUCUUGGUUCUCGCAUCGAUGAAGAACGCAGCGAAAUGCGAUACGUAAUAUGAAUUGCAGAUAUUCGUGAAUCAUCGAAUCUUUGAACGCACAUUGCGCCCUUUGGUAUUCCAAAGGGCAUGCCUGUUUGAGCGUCAUUUCUCCCUCAAACCCCCGGGUUUGGUGUUGAGCAAUACGCUAGGUUUGUUUGAAAGAAUUUAACGUGGAAACUUAUUUUAAGCGACUUAGGUUUAUCCAAAAACGCUUAUUUUGCUAGUGGCCACCACAAUUUAUUUCAUAACUUUGACCUCAAAUCAGGUAGGACUACCCGCUGAACUUAAGCAUAUCAAAAGGGGGGGAGAAAA